UACUGCCCUCAUGCGAUGGAAAGGGAGCGAGAGCGACGAGACUGCGAGUGUUGUUGAUGCGACACAAAAGCCGUCCAUCUGAGAGCGGAAGCGCCGCCACUUUCAGUGAGAUAAGUGUCUGGUUGGUGAGGGCUCUGCUCAUGGCCCAUUUUGCUCUUGGUAGGGACACCCUGUUAGCUAGGGCUGGGUUGGAAGAAAAGGUUCCUGACUAGUUGUGGUUUUGAGGGAGACAAGGUCCCCAUUUCCAGGGGCUGCUCAUUUCUCUGGCCAGGACCGGUGUGUCCUCUGCAGCAGGUUAGAUCCAGGAGGAUGACUCCCGGUGGUGAGUUGCUUGCCUUCCUCCCACCUUUUUCUCUCUCUCUCUCUAGUACGUUGGCCAACAUACACCCUUUAACUCUCUGUGUCUGUCCUUGCCUUUCCUUGUGCUGUCUUCCUUCGUAGGACACAGGCAGGGGUGCUAGGUGUGCAACCCCACAGCUUAGGUCUCGGGAGCCAUGGAGAAGUAGGAGCAGAUGAAAAUCAUGUGGCAGUUGGCUCUAAAGUGGAGCGAAGACUGUCGGUGUUAACUCGGUCUCUGUUCAUCAAGUAGGGCCAAUGUAGAUGGGAUGGGAGAGGGAGGCCAGGAUGAGACCAAGAUUUCGAGCACCAACACAGCUUUGGGUAGUGAUGGCUCAUGCUUGGCUUUUGCAGCUGCACUUGCAGAGGAAUUGUCCAGGAGUCCCAGCCGGAGGAGAAACUGGCAAACGUAGACCUGAUCAGCUUGGACAUUCUCCUAAGCAGAAAUAAACAGUACUCAGCUUUCUACCUUCCGCUUAAAAGGCUAAGAUGGUUUCUAGAACUACCUUCCAAAUGGCAGUGUUAUCUUCUGAAAGUCAGGGAAACACCCACACCCUAGUUAGAGGGAGCUCAUCUUUGACCUUGGCAUGAAGAGGGCCAAAGCAGAGAGGAGGAUUAAGCCUGUGCGGAGAAGUGUCGAUCCCGAGCCCCCUUACAGCCGCCCCUUCGGCACACCAUGUUCCAUCUGACCGGGAUAGGUCCCAAAUAAGAUUUCACUUCAAAUCUCUAAAAAGCCAAGUAGAAAUCAUUCUGUGGGAAUUUACUGUGACUAAGAGAAACAGAAGUUCAGCCCUUCUCAAGGGGUGAGGGUCGGGGGGAGUCGCUCAUCCACAGACACAGAAAGGCUCCCUCAGCUUAAGCGUGAGAGGUAUAAGACCUUACACCCUGGUUACAGGGC
RNAcentral lists this long non-coding RNA (1234 nucleotides) under Chrysemys picta bellii (western painted turtle). Its description in RNAcentral is "lncRNA (ENSCPBG00000001030.1)". The record is from RNAcentral. Lineage: Eukaryota; Metazoa; Chordata; Testudines; Emydidae.